This is a small nucleolar RNA of Rhincodon typus (whale shark), 87 nucleotides long. RefSeq annotates it as small nucleolar SNORD12/SNORD106. The transcript has a single exon. Lineage: Eukaryota; Metazoa; Chordata; Chondrichthyes; Orectolobiformes; Rhincodontidae. The record is from RefSeq and is a predicted model, not a curated record.
GACUCAGUGAAUGAUGUAAAUUUCUUUCCCCGUCUUAUCGAUCAUGGUGAUUUGUACAAAUAAGCCAAAUACUUCUGACACUGAAAA